GACUAGCGCUGGCGGUGUGUCUUAGACAUGCAAGUCGAGCGGGGUACAUCGUUGUAGCAAUACAGUGGUGUACUUAGCGGCGAACGGGUGAGUAAUACAAGGGCAGCCAUCCCCAAGGAGGAGCACAACUCGCCGAAAGGCGGGCUAAUUCUCCAUGUGCUGCGGCAGAGGCAUCUCUGCUUCAGGAAAGGCGCCGCAAGGUGCUACCUCGGGACGGGCUCUUGUCCUAUCAGCUUGAUGGCGGGGUAACGGCCCACCAUGGCAAAGACGGGUAGCCGGCGUGAGAGCGUGACCGGCCACAGGGGAACUGAGAUACGGUCCCCACUCCUACGGGAGGCAG
This 340-nucleotide ribosomal RNA is filed under the name uncultured bacterium. RNAcentral's name for it is "bacterial SSU rRNA". It matches the Rfam family "Bacterial small subunit ribosomal RNA", at positions 28 to 351 of the family's 1533-position model. The record is from RNAcentral.